Gallus gallus (chicken) is the source of this 2702-nucleotide long non-coding RNA. The record is from Ensembl. NCBI's taxonomy places the organism in Eukaryota, Metazoa, Chordata, Aves, Galliformes, Phasianidae.
CUCUCUCUGGAGAUUUCUCUUCUUGGAGUCUUUUCAGUGAGCCCAGGACAUGGCAGACGGAGAAGAGAAGAAGCACCUGCCUGCCCUCCCUCUCAAGCCCCCUGGUUUGUCUACUUAAUUUGCUGCAAAAUUGGAGGAAGCUCUAGAAAAAGUGGCUGGUUCAACUCACUGGACUUUGGCAAAUCACUUGGUCUGUGUCAGUUUCCCAGGUGCUAUCUGCAGAGAAGAUUGUAAACCUUGAAAUCAGCCUAAAUCUGGAGCUGCUUUUCCACAUGGAAUAAAAUCAAUGACCUUUCAUUCCACUGUUCACUUUCAAGGCAGGGGAACUUCUGGAUACAGCUCGUAAAUACCUGUUUCAGUGAAAAUUCACAACACUGGUACCAAUGCACCCUUCUUUCAAGCUGAGUUAUGAAAGAAGCCCUACUGCAGAAAACAAAUGAUUGAAACGUGUUACUGAAGCCAGUCGUCAAGGCCAGUGUUUCUAUAGGUGUGGUGUCUAAAUACCUGGCACUUGAUGUCUGCUUGGCUUACACUCGCAAGCUGUCUGCCCUCUUCAGAGAGAGUGAAAGAGACCCUCUCCAGGGUAUUCCUCAGAGCACUGAGCUUGUGUGGUGCUGGCCAGCAACUGUGUCUUCAGGAAGUGACACAUUCUUGGAAGUUUUGAAUGGAUUAAGCAGAAAUGGAUGAGAGGAAUAAAUAUUUUCAAGUUCUACGGUUCACAGAAUUUUGUAUGUACUGAACAAGCUCAGCAGUAAAGAAUGCUUAGAGGGAAGACGUAAUGGGCUAAUUUUUUUCCCCCCAUCUUUUUACAGUCAGUUCUGUGUCAAAAUUUUAUUUUUUCUGAGAUCUGAAAGAAUUGUACUGUUGCUUAACAUGUAGAAAACAGAGAACUGAGUUAAUAUGGAUUUUUCUGUUGCUUGAACAAGGCCUGUUGAUGGCAAGUCUGAAAUAAGCUUGUGAAUGAAGUGAAAUAGAGGACCGAACUUUUUCUACCUCCUGACCAGAAAGGGUAGAACAGUUACCCACCGGAAACUUUGUGUUUCAAAUGGGAAUAAAAGCCAGAGCUAUUGCAGUGAACUUGUCUGUCCUUGUAGAGGUAGUGCACACAGGACAACAACAUCAGAACGUAACAAGAUGACUGAUGGGAUAACUGUGGUUCCCUUUCCUUGGGUAGGAUGAGGCCACCUACCACUACAGAACCUUCAAUACGGGGCCCAAACAUAACUGGCAGAAAUAUAGUGUUUAUAUAUAUAGAAAUUAAUUUUUUAAUCUUCUCAAUAAGUGAAAAAGAUCAGAUAAUCAAACUUGUGAAGUAAAAAAUUGAUGCUCUUUUUUUACUUGUACGUCUAUGUUUUUGUGAUACAAAUAAUUGGUAGUAGAAAUCUUCUGGGUCUCUUGUUUACUGUUUUAUAAAGUACUAUGCCAAUACCUGUGUGGCUGAUUCUGGAGGGUGUCUUGAUUUUGAUGGUGUGUUUCCAUGUGCAGAACAUAGUCACUUCAUUGGUGACAAUUGUGUGGUAAAACAAACUUUGUGUGCUGCCUAAAUGCAUGAUCCUUUGCCCUUUGGGAGCUUCGGUAUUUGAAUUAAAUUUUCUUCAUUAGUCUAUUAACAUUUUGUUUGGAAGGGUACAGCAUUAUCCCCAUCCACUACAGAAGCCAGCAGUUAGGCUACUCAGAAAGAUGGUUAUGCUUCCAGUAUGAGAGAGUUACAGGUUUCUCCAUCCAGGGUUAGCUCAGAGGGUCACUAUAGCAGCAGGAGGCACAGGCUCAGACAGUGAGCAAGCAGAAUGGAGUGAGGCAUCUGGAAAAAAAACAAAACAAGUACGCUGAACAUCUAAUUUGUUCUUGUUUUUGCGAGUUAAGUGAUGUAGGCAUAAAAACCAGAAUUUUCAGUUUGCAGCACCUAUGUUUGUCCUAAUAGGCCCCGCGCAUAAAUAGAUUCAGUGAAGUGCUUAAUGUAAGCUUUUCUAUGCUUGGAUUGGGCAAUCACAUGUUUCUCAGCUGAGUGCAAAUACAGUCCAUUAUUUUCUAAACGGGCUUGAAAUUCAUGAAUACAGCAAACACCCAAGAUGAAGUGGAUUAUCUCUUUCAUUUUCUAUGCCUGCUUUUCACCUUAGCAAUCUUCUUUCCUUCUAACUUAUUUUUAUCUUUAUGUAAUUUCCACACAUAUACAAAGGCUUCACUGUAUAUAGCUUUCUUGUUAUGCUCUAAUGUUCAGAGGUUUGUGAAACUGUUUCAGAAGAUGUGAGUAUACAAGAUCUUUGAAGUCUUGCUCAGAAUGAAAGGAGUUGCAGUGCUAUUACCAAUGCUGAUAUUUUGAUGAAGUGAUGCAUCUUCUGAUCCAAACAGGCUAUUCUGCAGUCUUUGCAUCUGAGACGUAAAUUUAUAUUUCUAAAUGUUUCUAAAUCUAUGUGACUACACAAAAUGUUUUAUAAUAGUUUUCUUUGUGUCUAAGUGUUUUGCUUUGUGUGGUGCCAGAUGAAGGACACUUUCUAAACUAGCAUAUGUUGUAGCAUUAUGUGUCUGAUCUGUAUGGAUUACCAUAGCUUCUUAAUCUGACUGUACAUAACUAUCUUAAAAGCUGUAUACUAAAAGGCUAAAGUGUAAUAUUUAGGGCACUUUGCAGGUAAAUGUGUAAUGUAUAUCUUAAGGUGGUAACCACAGCUGCAGCGACACUUCACAAUUAAUAAUAAUAAUAAUAA